Burkholderia cenocepacia J2315 is the source of this 177-nucleotide non-coding RNA. The record is from Rfam. Lineage: Bacteria; Pseudomonadati; Pseudomonadota; Betaproteobacteria; Burkholderiales; Burkholderiaceae.
CAAAAAGCCCGCUAUGCGUCGGCAUCAGCGGGCUUCGGUGCGGUACGACAGCGAUCGACUCGGGCCGGCUGCCGCCGGCCUUCGCUUUAGCUGUUUUGGGAAGUUGCCCCGCGUCCGCAAGCUGAUAUCAAAUCGACGCAAGGCCACAUCCUAUCACGCCUCGAUCGAAGCGUGCGC